Molecule: long non-coding RNA, 506 nt
Organism: Mastomys coucha (southern multimammate mouse)
Lineage: Eukaryota; Metazoa; Chordata; Mammalia; Rodentia; Muridae
Exons: 3
Source: RefSeq, a predicted model, not a curated record
CACGCGGCAUGGUGGGAGGGAGGCUGUGCUCUCAGGCUGUUUUUUUUAACUGGUUGUGUUGCAGUGUAGGUUGACCUCCAAAUCUUGGUUUUCCAAGAGUUUUGAUUAAAGGACUUUAAACUUGAUGGGCUUUUAUCUUUGGACAUUUCAAGCCUGUGGCAUUUGGAUUGUGUUUGGAGACAGUGAUUGCUUUAAUGGUGCACACAUGAAGCAGACCAGGCCUCAUAACUUCUAAUUACUCCAGCCAUUGCCAUAAGAUCACGGUGGUUCUUGGCCAAUGGCAAUUCAAGGCCUUGAAAGUCUUGUGCCACCAGAAUAAAACCAAUUAGUACACCUUGGAGCCCUCGAGUCUACAAACAACAUGAAUGCAGCUAGAGUUUGAAUAAAGAGGAAGAAACUGGCUUCCUACUGAAACCACCGAGGAGUCCCUGGGAGUGGCUGAUCGGGGUGGAAAGGGUUCCAACUCUGAAACAUCUCCAGAAAACAUGACUUUCAGUUCUACAAAG